ACGCUAGCGGCAGGCCUAAUACAUGCAAGUCGAGCGGUAGUGAGCUUCGGUUCAGUACAGCGGCAAACGGGUGCGUAACGCGUAAGCAACCUGCUCACUACUGGGGGAUAGCCCGGCGAAAGCGGGGGUAAACCCGCAUGGUCCUCUGAAGUCACCUGGCUUUAUAGGUAAACAUUAAUGGGUAGUGGAGGGGCUUGCGUCUGAUUAGCUAGUUGGCGGGGUAAGGGCCCACCAAGGCGACGAUCAGUAGGGGUUCUGAGAGGAUUGGCCCCCACAUGGGUACUGAGACACGGACCCAACUCCUACGGGAGGCAGCAGUAGGGAAUAUUGGGCAAUGGAGGCAACUCUGACCCAGCCAUGCCGCGUGGAGGAUGACGGCGCUCAGCGUUGUAAACUCCUUUUAACUGGGAAGAACGGCGGGCCUGCGGGCCUGUGUGACGGUACCAGUGGAAUAAGCACCGGCUAACUCCGUGCCAGCAGCCGCGGUAAUACGGAGGGUGCAAGCGUUGUCCGGAUUUAUUGGGUUUAAAGGGUGCGUAGGUGGGAUUGCAAGUCUGGUUUGAAAGCUGGUGGCUCAACCAUCAGAUGUGG
This 591-nucleotide ribosomal RNA is filed under the name uncultured bacterium. Its description in RNAcentral is "bacterial SSU rRNA". It matches the Rfam family "Bacterial small subunit ribosomal RNA", at positions 33 to 625 of the family's 1533-position model. The record is from RNAcentral.